RNAcentral lists this ribosomal RNA (301 nucleotides) under uncultured bacterium. RNAcentral's name for it is "partial 16S ribosomal RNA". It matches the Rfam family "Bacterial small subunit ribosomal RNA", at positions 509 to 809 of the family's 1533-position model. The record is from RNAcentral.
CAGCAGCCGCGGGAAUACAGAGGGUGCAAGCGUUAAUCGGAAUUACUGGGCGUAAAGCGCGCGUAGGUGGUUCGCCAAGUUGGAUGUGAAAUCCCCGGGCUCAACCUGGGAACUGCAUCCAAAACUGGCGAGCUAGAGUAUGGUAGAGGGUGGUGGAAUUUCCUGUGUAGCGGUGAAAUGCGUAGAUAUAGGAAGGAACAUCAGUGGCGAAGGCGACCACCUGGACUGAUACUGACACUGAGGUGCGAAAGCGUGGGGAGCAAACAGGAUUAGAUACCCCAGUAGUCCCUGUCUCUUAUAA